AAAUUUUUUAAGCAUAAACACAUCAGAGAUUAUACGAAGAAGUGCUUUCGAUUUUAAUACAGUCCUCGUCACCUUCCAAAGAAUAAUAGAAUAAAUACAAAUAAAAUACAUUAAAACUCAGAUUGAACAGUAACUAUGGUAACUUCACAAAAGAAACAAGGAUAAAUUUACAAUUUCAGUAAAUAACCAGAAAAUAUUUUUAGGUACAUCUAAAUGUAAAUUCAUAUACGAAAAGAUAAUGUAUGCAUAGAGUUCAGAAAAUACGUGUUGAACGUUCAUUAAACUGUAUAAUGUUCCAGUUUGGCACAAGAUUUCAAUGCAUUACUGAUGUCUGCUGGAUUUAUCUUAUAUCGUUGUUUCACCGUCGAUCUCCUGUUAUUGUAAAUCGCUCUUGUUUCGGCAACCCUUCCUUAGGAUCUUCCUCCUUUCGUAAAAGUCUAGCCGCCUCCCAUUCUACUGUUAAAUCAGAUAGAACUGCUGUCUAUGCUAAGGCUGUUGAUGUCCUAGAUUUCUCAAUAUCUUAUGCUCUUUGAUCCUUUCAUUCAACGAUCUAGAUAUAUACCCUAUAUAAUUGAUGUUUUCAUUUAAAUCAUUAUCAAUAGCUGGUAUCUCAUAAACCCCUGAUAACGAGGAGCGUUGGUUCUUAAAAAUUGUAUUUCUUCUGUUGAAAACGAUUAACUAUUUCACAUUAAAAAAUUUAAUUUCACCAUUAAAGAAUUGAUGGUAGGAACAUUUUUAUACAGUUUUUAUAUAAUUUUCAAUGCAAUUAAUAUUUUUUAUCAUUGAUUUUGUAAAAUUUUAUGCUAACAUUUAUUAAUGAUUUGUAUAAUUCUAAAAUAUCACGAACAUAUUUCAUAAAAGUUAUCUGCGGUGAAAUAAAGAACAAACAAUUAUUUAAUGAUAAACAUACGAUACUUUAUGAAGCGUAUACGAUACUUUAGAUGAAUUAGAUAUGUAUUCAAAAAUUAAAAAAAUUGAUCAAAUAUUUAAAUACGCACACUAUAUUGAUACCAUGUUUUAUAGAGAAUUAUAAUGUGAAAUUUGUAUCUUCUAUUGUUUUACCUGAUUUCUUCAGAAAUCUAGAAUAAUAUUUAUUGUUAAUUUUCGUUCCCUUCUUCAAAUAGCCUUUUAAUUUAACUUUCGAAAUCCAAAAGGUAAGGCCAUAAUUUCAAUAUUGUGUCUUUUUUUUUUGAAUAACUUCAAAAAAUUAUUUUAUAUGGAAGGAAUUGCUAACAAUUCGUAUUCCAUA
This 1249-nucleotide long non-coding RNA is filed under the name Androctonus crassicauda. Lineage: Eukaryota; Metazoa; Arthropoda; Arachnida; Scorpiones; Buthidae. The record is from RNAcentral.